This 1022-nucleotide ribosomal RNA is filed under the name uncultured archaeon. RNAcentral's name for it is "bacterial SSU rRNA". It matches the Rfam family "Archaeal small subunit ribosomal RNA", at positions 322 to 1355 of the family's 1478-position model. The record is from RNAcentral.
CCUACGGGGGGCAGCAGGCGAGAAACCUUAGCAAUGCGGGAAACCGUGACUGGGCUAUCCCGAGUGCCAGCCGCUAAGGUUGGCUUUUCCCCAGAGUAAAAACCUGGGGGAAUAAGCGAGGGGCAAGACUGGUGUCAGCCGCCGCGGUAAUACCAGCUCCGCGAGUGGUCGGGACGAUUAUUGAGCCUAAAGCGCUCGUAGCCGGUCCGGUAAGUCCUGUGCUAAAUCCAACGGCUCAACCGUUGGGCCGCAUGGGAUACUGCUGGGCUAGGGAGCGGAAGAGGCCAGGGGUACUCCCGGGGUAGGGGCGAAAUCCUAUAAUCCCGGGAGGACGACCAGUGGCGAAGGCGCCUGGCUAGGACGCGUCCGACGGUGAGGGGCGAAAGCUGGGGGAGCGAACCGGAUUAGAUACCCGGGUAGUCCCAGCUGUAAACGAUGCGGAUUGGGUGCCGGUACGGCUUCGGGCCGUAUCGGUGCCUCAGGGAAGCCGUUAAAUCCGCCGCUUGGGGAGUACGGUCGCAAGACUGAAACUUAAAGGAAUUGGCGGGGGAGCACCACAAGGGGUGAAGCCUGCGGCUCAAUUGGAGUCAGCGCCGGGAACUUUACCGGGGGCGACAGCAGUAUGAGGGCCAAGCUGAUGACUUUGCCCGACGCGCUGAGAGGUGGCGCAUGGCCGUCGCCAGCUCGUGCCGUGAGGUGUCUGGUUAAGUCCAGGAACGAGCGAGACCCUCACCCCUAGUUGCCACCGCGCAAGCGGGCACACUAGGGGGACCGCCACCGCUAAGGUGGAGGAGGGAGGGGGCAACGGCAGGUCAGCAUGCCCCGAAUCCCCCGGGCCGCACGCGGGCUGCAAUGGUGGAGACAAUGGGUUCCGAACCCGAAAGGGGGAGGUAAUCCUUGAAACUCCACCGUAGUUGGGAUCGAGGGCUGCAACCCGCCCUCGUGAACCUGGAAUCCCCAGUAAUCGCGUGUCAUCAUCGCGCGGUGAACACGUCCCCGCUCCUUGCACACACCGCCCGUCA